GUGCCAGCCGCCGCGGUAAUACGUAGGUGGCAAGCGUUGUCCGGAAUUACUGGGUGUAAAGGGAGAGUAGGCGGGGCUGCAAGUCCGUUGUUAAAUCCAUCGGCUCAACCGGUGGCUGCGGCGGAAACUGUAGUUCUUGAGUGAAGUAGAGGCAGGCGGAAUUCCUAGUGUAGCGGUGAAAUGCGUAGAUAUUAGGAGGAACACCAGUGGCGAAGGCGGCCUGCUGGGCUUUAACUGACGCUGAGGCUCGAAAGUGUGGGGAGCAAACAGGAUUAGAUACCCUGGUAGUCCACACUGUAAACGAUGAUUACUAGGUGUGGGGGGACUGACCCCUUCCGUGCCGGAGUAAACACAAUAAGUAAUCCACCUGGGGAGUACGGCCGCAAGGUUGAAACUCAAAGGAAUUGACGGGGGCCCGCACAAGCAGUGGAGUAUGUGGUUUAAUUCGAAGCAACGCGAAGAACCUUACCAGGUCUUGACAUCGUGCGCAUAGUAUAGAGAUAUAUGAAGUCCUUCGGGACGCAUAGACAGGUGGUGCAUGGUUGUCGUCAGCUCGUGUCGUGAGAUGUCGGGUUAAGUCCCUCAACGAGCGCAACCCUUACGAUUAGUUGCUACGCAAGAGCACUCUAAUAGGACUGCCGUUGACAAAACGGAGGAAGGUGGGGAUGACGUCAAAUCAUCAUGCCCCUUAUGACCUGGGCUACACACGUACUACAAUGGUGAUCAACAGAGGGAAGCAAAGCGGCGACGCGGAGCAAAUCCCUAAAAGUCAUCUCAGUUCGGAUCGCAGGCUGCAACCCGCCUGCGUGAAGUUGGAAUUGCUAGUAAUCGCAGAUCAGAAUGCUGCGGUGAAUACGUUCCCGGGCCUUGUACACACCGCCCGU
This 884-nucleotide ribosomal RNA is filed under the name uncultured bacterium. RNAcentral's name for it is "bacterial SSU rRNA". It matches the Rfam family "Bacterial small subunit ribosomal RNA", at positions 505 to 1397 of the family's 1533-position model. The record is from RNAcentral.